RNAcentral lists this ribosomal RNA (584 nucleotides) under uncultured bacterium. Its description in RNAcentral is "bacterial SSU rRNA". It matches the Rfam family "Bacterial small subunit ribosomal RNA", at positions 338 to 916 of the family's 1533-position model. The record is from RNAcentral.
CCUACGGGAGGCAGCAGUGGGGAAUUUUGGACAAUGGGCGCAAGCCUGAUCCAGCAAUGCCGCGUGAGUGAAGAAGGCCUUCGGGUUGUAAAGCUCUUUUGUCAGGGAAGAAACGGUGGGGGCUAAUAUCUCCUACUAAUGACGGUACCUGAAGAAUAAGCACCGGCUAACUACGUGCCAGCAGCCGCGGUAAUACGUAGGGUGCAAGCGUUAAUCGGAAUUACUGGGCGUAAAGCGUGCGCAGGCGGUUUUGUAAGUCUGUCGUGAAAGCCCCGGGCUCAACCUGGGAAUUGCGAUGGAGACUGCAAGGCUUGAAUCUGGCAGAGGGGGGUAGAAUUCCACGUGUAGCAGUGAAAUGCGUAGAGAUGUGGAGGAACACCGAUGGCGAAGGCAGCCCCCUGGGUCAAGAUUGACGCUCAUGCACGAAAGCGUGGGGAGCAAACAGGAUUAGAUACCCUGGUAGUCCACGCCCUAAACGAUGUCUACUAGUUGUCGGGUUUUAAUUAACUUGGUAACGCAGCUAACGCGUGAAGUAGACCGCUGGGGAGUACGGUCGCAAGAUUAAAACGCAAAUGAAUUGACGG